CUCAUUUCUCUUAAAGGCAUAGCACACAUUUUUAUUGUCACAUUUUUAUUGUUGCAUCCUUGUAGUAUUUUAUAUAGUAUUUUAUCCAGCAUUUCAUAUUCAUAUUUUUGAGCCAUAUACUAGAUAGCUCCUGGAUCUUUUACACUUUUUAGUGUUUUAUCACUUUUUAGUGCUUUUUCCUUAAUAAAUAUGAUGGUUAUGCUUCAGUUAUUAUAUUAUAAAACAUUGUGCCGAUUAACCCAUUGCUCCUACUGUUACACAUGAAAAUACGCUUGAGGACUGCUAUUGCGGCACCACAAGCUUGUCUGUCAUUAUCUUAUUGCACAAUGAAAAAAUAAAGAAUAAAAAAAAAA
This is a non-coding RNA of Pelobates cultripes (western spadefoot toad), 353 nucleotides long. The record is from the annotation of a GenBank genome assembly. NCBI's taxonomy places the organism in Eukaryota, Metazoa, Chordata, Amphibia, Anura, Pelobatidae.